Molecule: transfer RNA, 73 nt
Filed under: Prevotellaceae bacterium
Lineage: Bacteria; Pseudomonadati; Bacteroidota; Bacteroidia; Bacteroidales; Prevotellaceae
Description: tRNA-Ala
Rfam family: tRNA
About the family: Transfer RNA (tRNA) molecules are approximately 80 nucleotides in length. Their secondary structure includes four short double-helical elements and three loops (D, anti-codon, and T loops).
Source: RNAcentral
GGGGUAUUAGCUCAGUUGGUAGAGCGCUUGCAUGGCAUGCAAGAGGUCAUCGGUUCGAAUCCGAUAUGCUCCA